This 497-nucleotide ribosomal RNA is filed under the name uncultured bacterium. RNAcentral's name for it is "bacterial SSU rRNA". It matches the Rfam family "Bacterial small subunit ribosomal RNA", at positions 33 to 507 of the family's 1533-position model. The record is from RNAcentral.
GCUACGCUGGCGGCGUGUCUUAGCCAUGCAAGUCGAGCGGACUUAUGGGGGUAACUUAUAAGUCAGCGGCGGACGGCGGAGUAACACGUAGCUAACCUACCCUCUGGACGGGGAUAACCUACCGAAAGGUGGGCUAAUACCCGAUGUAGUCAUCCUGUAUAGGGGUGAUGAAAGGUGGGCUUCUGUUUACAAGCUCAUGCUGGAGGAGGGGGCUGCGGCCUAUCAGGUAGUUGGUAGGGUAAUAGCCUACCAAGCCGAUGACGGGUAGCCGGCCUGAGGGGGUGACCGGCCCGAGGGGCACUGAGAUACGGGUCCCACUCCUACGGGAGGCAGCAGGCUAGAAAUUUGGGCAAUGGGGGAAACCCUGACCCAGUGACGCCGCGUGCAGGAAGGAGCCCUUCGGGGUGUAAACUGCUGUCGUGUAGGGAGAAGGGUACUAAGGUGAACAAUCUUAGUACUUGACGGUACUACAGGAGGAAGCCCAGGCUAACCUCGUG